CAGCACUGUUUUACCUGGCAUUUAUUGCUUCUCUGAAGUUAUCAAGGAGCUAGCAUGGAAGAGCUGAUGAUACAAAACAGCACACCAUGAUGCAAAGAAUUGUCAGAUACAGACAUCCAAAGAAAACAGAACACGUUAGCUGUGUAAACAGGAGACACCACUGUUACAGAAGUGGUCAUCUCUGAACAGGCCUCCUGUGUGUCUCGGCUUCUCUCUCAACUCGCUACCCUAAGAUGCAACUCUUGUUGCUCACAGGCACGUAUAUAUCUGGAGGUUAGAUUCAUGCCUUAAAGAAAUAGUAACUGAAAACUAGAGAUUUGCCAUUUGUCACUGCAUUCAAAAUACUUGAAACAAAAAGCAUCAUCCAUACCUUC
Molecule: non-coding RNA, 374 nt
Organism: Anas platyrhynchos (mallard)
Lineage: Eukaryota; Metazoa; Chordata; Aves; Anseriformes; Anatidae
Source: RefSeq, a predicted model, not a curated record